RNAcentral lists this long non-coding RNA (21632 nucleotides) under Triticum aestivum (bread wheat). RNAcentral's name for it is "long non-coding RNA (TAES_LNC024390)". The record is from RNAcentral. Lineage: Eukaryota; Viridiplantae; Streptophyta; Magnoliopsida; Poales; Poaceae.
CUUGGUGAUCUAGAACCAGUAACUGAAGACAUGUUUUAUGCGAGGCUUAACAGUUUAUUUCAAAAUAUAUUUUUCAUUCCUACAAUACAUGAUUUUCUGUUCAUUUGAAGCAUUAGUGAGGCGACUAAUACAUCUAAUUACAUAAUUAGCCUGCAAUAUUUCGGAUGAUGUUUGUCGUUUAUCUCUGUUUACUUGUGUAUCUAAGAGUGUUCAUGUGUCAGGAAAAUUAUGAGUCAGUUGAGAGUAGUCCAUUUUUUGUAGCUUUUGAUCCUAGUCUACUUUUGGCCUGUUAUUCUUCUUUUAUAGAGGCCACGAUGGGCUUUGGUUUGCGGAAAACAUUUAUUUUGUUCUCAUAUAUAGUUAAAAACAGUGGCAGACCAAGGAUUCGGGUACGACCAGGGCUAAAUCCUACUGGCAAAAAAGUAAAAAUCCUAAAAGUAAAAAAAAACAUACCAUGUCAUCUUAAUUGACACUAUAUUACAUUCGAUCAUAUGAUAUUUUUAAAAAUUCUUUCUGAAAUCUCAUAGUAUGGUUUGUUGCUAAUUUCAUAGAAAAAUUGUGACCAACUGGUUAGCGCAGAAUUAAUAGAAAAUACUCCCACCUACAAGUAUUUCAAAUAUUAAAACGUAUCUCUUCAACUGGCUUGUGAAGGCUACUAUCUGCGAGAAUGUCAUCUAGAUUAAACUCAACACCAGGAUUCCUGAUUGACCACAAUGAUUAGGAUGUCUUGUUGUGGCUGAGUGUCUAGUUGGCCCAACCAACCAUCUGGUUUCUGUCCACAUCUAUUUGGAAUACCUGAGCCCAGAAUUGGCGAAUUGUGAAGCUGAUGAAACUAAGAUGACAUUUGUCGUGAUUAGAAAGAUUCUAACAUCUUUGCUCAAUUCAUUUUCUAUGUCUAUGUUGUCAGAUUGAAUAAAACCAGUUAAUCAAAGUGUCUAACCCCUAAUAUCAGUAUUUGGAAAUAGUAAUCAAAUAAGAGGAAACGAUUGGAAAGGCAAACAAUUACCUAAAAACCAAGAGCACCAAAUAAGACACCAGCCGCCCGUUGGAGGCGACGAGCCCAUAAUUCCAGCGGAACGCCGGAGUGUGGGACGGAGGCAACGGGCGUGGGGCUGCGCAGUGCGCUGUGAACAAAUUAAUUGACAACCUGGUUGUUGUUAGCCCUUGGCCUUCCGACUCCUUAACACGGGUUAAACUCCUGCGAAUUGCAAUUUUCAGUAAAAAAUCUGAAUGGGUUACCAGUACUACACGGGCCCAGACCAGGGCUGCAGCCCUGGCUGCUGGGUACACAGUUCCGCACCUGGUUAAAAUUACACUGACAAUAGCCCAUACCGUCUACUAUCUAGGUCGGAUACUCUGACUGCUAGUUUCUUAAUCUGUGCAAGUUUCAGUUGCUGUAUUGAUACUUCAUGCCAAAAUGAAACUCCAUGUGUCUAGUUGCUUUUAUUUGCCUCAUAGGCCCAAAACUUCCAACUGACAAGUUUUUUUUAAUCUUCUUAACUGGACAGGUAUGCGUGAACCCGAGUUUUGAAGGAAGACUUUUACUAUUUUGGAAGAGUCAAUUAAUGAUAGAGGUGGUAAUUUUGUGGAUGCAGUGGUGUAAUCCAACGGUUGAGAUGCAAUGAUUAAUUAACUUGUCCUAAAAACAAUUAAGCAACUUGUAUGAGAAUUAUGGGACGCGUGGCUCCUCUGGGGACUAUAUAACCAGGGAGAGUGGGAGGAUGGGUGGCACGCUACCAAAAACCCUAUUUUCUUUGUCUUGUCUAUUUUCCUGCUUUGCCUUGUUCUUUAGCUUUUCUUUUUUUCCCAGCAAGAUAUCACUGUUUGGGCCUGAACCGCUAGGCGCUAGCUGCCCAGCUCAAUCCUAGCAGCGGAGACUGCCACGGGGCCGGCCCUGAGGGAGGGCGAUGGCCUGGGCCCCCGAAACCAACUGGGGCGUAUGCAGUGAGGUGGCGGCGCCAUUAGAUGCAAAUUUGUCUGUCGUGCUGUUGGAGACGAUGGAGGAAGCUGGAAUCUGGAAUCGUUACAUCUUACUAAUGGGCUGAAACUUGGCCCUUUUUUCCUAGCAUGGGCUGUUUCUCCUUUUGUUGGCAAGGAGGGCAACGAGGAGUGGGGCCUAUGGGACAGACACAAGAGCGAUCCAGGAAUUUCAGCACAAAAUUGAUGUAUUUUCUUCGGCUCAAAAACCAAUGGAGGCAUUUCUCGUUCCAUUUCUCUAAAAACAAUUCAAACCAAUCUAAUGUUGAGUGCUCUAAUCUAUAUCUAUACCUAAUAAUAAAGGCACUAAGGUUUCUCCUUGUACGUCGUUUUUGGACGAUUUUACCCCUAUUAGUUCGGAGAAAUAUCAUAGACUGCCACCGAUAAGUGAGGCUCGUACCGGUUUGGCAUUUUUUCCCCUAGUCGUCUAUCGUUUUGGUCGGUGGAAGCGGAUGCAGGGCCGGACACAGAGGUGCCACCGGGGAGCUCCGCCGAGCAGUUAGAAGUCGGUCAGAGGAAGCGGACUUCAAAGAGGUAGGGCCGACGUGGAGGCUCCCGAGAAAGGGGCCCGGAAGAGGCGGAUGUCGAGGAGGCAAGGCCUCCCGAAGGGAUUUGUUGGAUGUGGACAUCGCCCAUCGCUGCUGGGCCUCGCCACCGGGGCAAGCUCCUCGUGUGCGGCAGGAGAACGGCGGGCGGGAUUGGGAACAUAGGGAGGGGUGCGCAGCUUGGGAUUGUGGGGCGGUUAUUUGCAGGGAGCCAGCGACUGCGGCAUCAAGCCAGAUCCGGUGGAUCUCCGUGAGGCAAGCAACGACAUUGAGGGAGACAGCAAAGGUGACAUUGAGGGGCUUGAUGCCGUUUGCCUCUCUUCUGUGUCCGGACCACACAACCCUCCUUUCCCAACACGCAAUCGGGUUCACAGGUGCUCGAUUCAUCAGCAAAAGGGGAGAGAAGGAUGUGAGUUGUGGGAGGAGCCCCCGUGUGGACCAGAUUGCGGACGGAGGGAGGCCCAACCCGACGCCGGCGUCUGGAAAAGAACAUCAGCGGCGUUGGCGCCUUCGUCGAGCGGCCGAGGCCGCGGAGUAGUCCAACCUGCGGUCGAGGUCCAGGAAGGAUCAUACGACCGUGGAGCUCCUCGUCGAUUUGAACAGGCGGAGGCCUAGGAUGUGCAGCCGCAGCGCCUCCGGCAGUAAACGUCGCAGUGCCUCAGGCGGGAAACAGAUGCUCCUAUGUGCGCGUGGAAGAGGUCCAGGAUCCAUCCGCGCAUGCUAGCUGUCUUGGAAUAUAUCGGUACAGAUCCCAAAUGUUUUGUUGAUUGAAUCAGACAAAUUUGUAUAUUCUAAUUUGCAGUGCGAGAAUUGGAGUUCACCGAAUGUGCAAACCAAAGAUGCAAAUUUUUAGAGACUUCUCCAAAUUCACAUGAUAGUCAAAUUUGACACAUCCGUUGGCUAGGGUUAUGAUGGGCGAUCAAAGUUUAGCGCACCUUUUUUAUCGCGCCAGUUUUGCACCAAAAGUUCAUAUAUUUUUUUCGUGGCAGCGCACGGGCAAAUUUGCUAGUUGUCCUCAAAUGAGCAACAACUAACCCUAGUGCGAUAAACCUGGUGCGCCAGAUCUUAAAGAGCUAGGGUGGCAUCAAGUCAAAUGUAAGACAAUGGAGUAAUCAUCAGGAGAUGGGGGUAGACAAUAGUUUGGCAAAGACCGUAACUCUGAUCUAAACCUAAAAAGAAUAAUUCAAAUGCCCAUCAGCUAACCCUUUGUUGGCAUGCCACAGAACAACCAUAUCGUUCUUUGCCGGACGCCAACCAACAGUAUAGCUCACCACCACAAGGUCACGAUAAUAGACGCCGCACUAUAGCACCCGCAUGUAGCAUAAUUUUUUCAUAAUUAUUUAUUUAAUUGGUAGAUUGAUUUCACUGAAAUGCACAUCACAAUUUUGGCGUGACAUACCUAUUGGCGAAAUGCUAUGUCCGCCACUGCAGUCGGAACAUGUUCUAAUUGGAAACGACAUAUGGUUUUCUAUGGUACAAUCAUUGCCUGGCGUGUGUGGGUUAAAUCUUUAGCAGUGAUGUAGAAAGCUUGCGUACUGUAGCAUUGUUUUUCUAUCUCUCGGGGCAAACUUGCAAUAGACAUGUUGUGCUCGGAGUUCGUUCAGUUAGUAAUUGACUAAUAAAUUUAAGAAAUCUAAUUGCAUGUUUGGUUUAUAUGCAAUGACAGUUUCAUGUUUUUCAAAAAGUCUAGGAGCUUUUAGAGAGUGAAACCAUAGAUGAUUCCUCGAGCUACCAACUGCAAGCUAACGUUCUUCAUUUACUCGACAUGUUGAUGCGGAUUCGAGUUUAAGACAUCGUACUAAUUUAAAACUAUCUCUUGUUUAAAUACCCCGGCAUGUAAAACGGUAGGGGAAGAAUAGAGAUAAUAUAUGAAAUACGAAAAUGAGUGAGUAAGAGCAUCUCCAGCGAGCCGACGCAAAUACCCCUGGCGCAACAGGAAUCCCAGUCCUACACGAUUCAGGAGACCGGGGAGGCAAACCGCUUGGCACUGCUAUGGGCAGACGAGGAGGAGAGCGCGCGCUGGCAGGCAGCCAUGGAUGAGAAGCGGCAUCAGAGGAAGGCCGAGGAGGCAAAUGCGUGCUGGAAGGCAGCCCUGGAGGAGGGGCAGCAACAGAGGGAGACCAUCAGCCAUGCUCGCAUUGACGCGGCCAUCUAGAGGGUGCGCCGUGCCAUAGGCCAGGGGCACAUCGACGAAUCCCGCGACGAGGGCGGCCACAGAGGCCGAGCUGACGACGACAUGUAGGCUCGGCCGAGGAUGGCUGGCGACGAGUUGGCUGGGCCGUCGAAGGGCCCCGGGCGUAGAAUCUAGUACCCAGUAGUUUCAGCAAAACUUUUUAACUAUGCCUAUUAAUUGAACUACUAGUUAUAUGAAUUGUGAUCACCGGAAGACGGACCCGAACGCAGAGUCGCGGGCCGUUCGCGCGCGUCCGCCAGCCCGAGCCAGCUUUGGGUCCGUUUGCGUCGAGUCACAGGCCGUGUGUCGGCUAUCCGCCUGUCUGAACGGAAAGAAACGGAUGCUUCCGGUCGAUAUGCAUGGAGAUGCCCUAAAUAAAGGAACAUCGUGACCAUAAGCUGCAGUCCAUGGAUUGGCACUGGAUGAGAUUGCUGGAACUAAGAGUUCCCACUCGAGGAGGUUUGAUACAGUGCAUGAAAGUUUCCGAGAGCGAGAAAAUGGUUUAUUCGCUUGGUGAAGGGCCUCCCGAAAUUCUCAACGGUGCUAGACAUGAACCACUCGGUCACUCUGAUGUUGCAUCAUGGGCCUGGAAGAGGACUACAUGAACGAUGUCCUCUUGCGCAACAUGGGAUGCUGUACGAAGAUGAACUCCCCAUGGAUUGGCAUAUGAAAUAUUUGGGUCGAAGAAGGGAUGGGGAGCAGACGGACUGAGUUGUUGCAAAGAUUAGGUGUCGGUGAAGACUGAAGACUAUAGAUGCAACUGGGAUGGAAUGUCCGCUUCCCGUAAUAUACUACCCACCGGUAUUUACGCGAUUAUAGCUAGGGACACGAGUUAUCCGACCUGAAACCUUACUGAAGACGAACAGUGCAUGCGAGCUGGCCUAAUAAUCACGAGCAGUGUCCCGCUUGCAUUAAUUAAUACGGUGUACAUGUACGUAUAUGGACGGCGUGACCCCACGGUUCUCCACCGUAAUUCUCACCAAGCCAGUAAGUACUAGUAUCGCUUACUACAUUUUGUUAUCAUUUUAACAUAGACCACACACAUAGAUCUCGCCAAAAGAAAUGAGAUUAAACCAGAUCUGGAUGUUCAUUUUAGUACUACUAAUCAACUGAAUUUGCUAUCCGGCCCUCACUCCCCGGGUACCCUAUGGCCAGGGUUUUUCUAUUCACCCCAAUCCUGAAUCUUAGGCGGCAUCAAGUUUUUCUCUCUGAUCUCAAUUGGAUCUGCACCCAAAUCUCUACCAAUACAGAUUGUCAUACACCUCGGAGAGAGAUCUCAUAUGUCUAUUAGCUUCCUCCUUUGGAAAACAAUCACCGCUCCCACUAGCGUUGAAUCCCCUGAGGACAUCGCAAUGGGAGUGACAGGUUUGAGCCAAUGUGACAUUAGGAAGAAUGUCAUAUUCGGAAUGAUAUUGAGACCAAUGUCAAAUAGGGUCGAUUUUUUUAAUUUUCUCCUAUGGUUGCAGAACUAUUGAAUGAGGAAUGCACGAGAGGCUAGGGUGCAAGUUGGAGCAUACUCUCCGUGGUGCCCCUAACCCAGCCCCCCUGUAAGUGUAACCCCGUUCAUAGGCGCCGUCUUCAAGAGCACUAGAAUUGGUGGAAUAAGUAGAUUUAAUAUGUUUACUUUACUGUUUUUGGUUAUAUUCCUCCUCUUGGAAGGCCGAAUGGCAAGUAUGUUGCAAAGUCAAUGCAUAAGUGUGUAACUUAGUCGUGUUGAAAUCUUUGGGCGUGUCCAACGUUUUGACCAAAAAAUUGGAACAUGUUUUGAGUAAUUGUGAGUUCCAUGUGUGCCAACUAUUUUCUCAGAUUUGAAUUGAUAUGAGGAUAUUGUUUUCAGACUUUUUGCAAAAAAGAAAAGAAAAGGGGAGUAAACCAUGGCAUCUGCAUGAAUUGAUGCACAAAACAGUUAAGUAAUUUAGAAUAUUUUCACGGAAACAUUUCCCUAAGAGCAUCCCCAGCCGAGCCCCCCAACCGGCCCCCAAUGGGUUUGGGGGGUGCCGGGCGUGAAAAUCGACCCAGUCGCACCCACCCAACCGUUUUUUGACUGCCGGCCGACCCCGCUGAGAGCGCCGGCAACCCCGCUCCGCACCCGGUCCACAGGGGGUCUAGCGGGGGCGCCGGACGUCGAAUUCAACAGAGUUACAAACGGUAGGCCCGCCUUGCCAGAGAGUGGGCUGGCUUUGGCAGGCGUUAUCGGCCUGUUGUUCCCAACUCCGGCGAGAUAAACAAAAUAACAUAGAUAGAUUCGAGAUAACCUAGAUACAAACUACUACUAAUAGACCUCGCCGCCGGCCUCCUACACCUCCUAUUCGAGGUUCACGACGUCCACCUCCGGGGGCACCAUGCGGAGCGGCUGGAUGCAGACCACGCCGUCACCGUCGACGAUGGGCUCGGGCACCCGCUCCUCCUCCUGCUCCUCUGGGAACGCCGUAGCGCGGCGCCGGAUCACCCGCCGAUGUGGAAGGUACCGACGACGCACGGAGGAGGCGUGACGCGCGACUGGUGGAGGCGCACGAGGAGCGGCCGGAGUCGCACGUCGGGCUGCUCCUGGAGGCAGCGCCGGUUGGCCGGAGACGAAGCCCCAGUGCGGAGGGAGGGGAUGCGCUCCGCGGAGAGCACCCACCCGUUCGGCUGCACCGAGCCGAUGCAUGGCACCGGCUGCCGGUACUCCCAGAGGGCGAGGGCGUGCUUGGUGCGCAGGUUGUAGCGCGGCGUCGGCGUCCUCUUCUUCUUCCCCGACGACGAGCCUGCCGGAAGGGCGAGGAAGGUCUCGGGCUCGCCGUCGCUUGCCAUGGUGGAGGAGUAGAAGAGGAGUGGAAGAGGAGGGGAGUGAGCCUUCUAGGCGGCGACGCGCCCGUUUUAUGCCUGGCCGCGCCGCGUGCCAUUAACUCCGGCGUGGGGAGGCGAGCCGGCACGCGUCACCGACCUCGCCGUCGUUUUGUGUCGCCUGGGGAACCGGCGAGGUCAUUUACUAAGUUUGACCACGCCUCCCCGGGUCGCUGCCAGGCGAGCCCCACUGGAUCCCGCUGAACGCCGUUCAUAACGGCCGUUGAUGCGUGUGUUUGGGGGUUCUCGAUGGGGGCGACGACCGGGAGACGCGCCGGACACGCACGGAAAACGCGCGCCGGUCCACCCUCAAACGAACGACCGGGCGACACGCCCGGUCGUCGUUUAGGGGUCACGGCUGGAGAUGCUCUAAGAUCCGCUCUUUUAUUUGCACGCACUAGGAUGUGGACAUACUAUGGACAAAGUCAAGGAAAAGUAGACCGAUUAUGUGUGAAAAAAGGGGCAAAUAUGAGUGGCCUUGGAUACAUUGAUUUUUUUUUGCACGCGAAGGUGUUUUGAAACUGUUUGUUUUCGCUAUUAUGGUUGGACAAAAUUAUGAGGAUUCAAGACCACUUCGAUGAGCGACAGUUUGAGAAAAUCAUCUUUCUAAAGAUUUUUUUUGUUCCAACUGACUGAAUUUAGGCUGAAAAUAAAUCAAAAUUUCUGAAAAGAAGGAGAAAUAUUUGUUUCCAGAGGUCGGGAGCACGGGAUCUGCACUCCCAUCCCACGAGACUGAACACGAGCUGACAUAUUGCAGCGAGCAUGUCAGAUCUAUAUAGCCUAACAAGAAAGCAAUCAAGGAUUCAUACCAAAAUCAAGUCUAUGCCUGACUAUGAAAUUUAGGGAUUAGCUUGUUCGUGAAGAAAACAGAAACAUGAUACAUGUAUUGCGAUGGGAAGGCAAACCUUGAUAGUCGUCCAUUGAUCGCCGCGCCUGCUGCCCGGACGGAGAGAAAUCCGGAGAUGUUGAAAGAUGAACAACAUGAAAGAGCAGGGCAAAGGGCUGCCGCUUGCACCUCUGCUCGAUCUGCAGACGAGGGCCUGCCCACCGCCGGCUAGCUGGGCGAAUCUUCAGCGAUCUGGGAUUGUAGAUGGCGUGAGGCAGAGGAUAAGAAAACGGGGAAAGAGAGAGAGCAGCAGGCCAUAAAUAAUUGAUCGUUAUGUCAGCUGGACGUGACCUCCAUCGGAAAGCACGGCUGCACAAGGGGCCGGCUCCCUCGCGGGCUCAUGAGGUCAGUGGUUACAGGGUACUUAUGUUGGUUCACCUCGGGAGUCACCAACUCGUCCCGACCAAGGAGCGAUCUGAGAUCUGACCCGUGAUUUACCGGAACGGAAAGUAGAACCUGGCUGACGUCUCCGAGUACAAUACCUGAGACCGGCGGCGGUGGCAGGCAAACUCGGACCAAUAGGGCACGCUACCGGAGAGGCAAUUCUACCUGUUUUUUUUCUUUCUCUUAUAGGAGGAACGCUCAUUUUAUUUUGCAAAAAAAUCGGUAUUUUUCCCGUGAGAUUUGAUUUUCUAAAUAAACGUUUUGUGCCGUUUAACUACUUCGUCCUAAACCAAUUAAGUAAGAUUUGUCUAAAUACGCAUGUGUGCGUCAAUUAAUCUAGGACGGAAGAAGUAUUUUUUCACUUAAAAAGAUGUCCGUUACACUUACGCAACUCACUUAAAUAAACCAGUCGCGCGUCACGCCUCCUCCGCGCAUCGUCGGUACCUUCCGCAUCGGCGGGUGAUCCGGCGGCGCGCUACGGCGUUCCCAGAGGAGCAGGAGGAGGAGCGGGUGCCCGAGCCCAUCGUCGACGGUGACGGCGUGGUCUGCAUCCAGCCGCUCCGCAUGGUGCCCCCGGAGGUGGACGUCGUGAACCUCGAAUAGGAGGUGUAGGAGGCCGGCGGCGAGGUCUAUUAGUAGUAGUUUGUAUCUAGGUUAUCUCAAAUCUAUCUAUGUUAUUUUGUUUAUCUCGCCGGAGUUGGGAACAACAGGCCGAUAACGCCUGCCAAAGCCAGCCCACUCUCUGGCAAGGCGGGCCUACCGUUUGUAACUCUGUUGAAUUCGACGUCCGGCGCCCCCGCUAGACCCCCUGUGGACCGGGUGCGGAGCGGGGUUGCCGGCGCUCUCAGCGGGGUCGGCCGGCAGUCAAAAAACGGUUGGGUGGGUGCGACUGGGUCGAUUUUCACGCCCGGCACCCCCCAAACCCAUUGGGGGCCAGUUGGGGGGCUCGGCUGGGGAUGCUCUUAGGGAAAUGUUUCCGUGAAAAUAUUCUAAAUUACUUAACUGUUUUGUGCAUCAAUUCAUGCAGAUGCCAUGGUUUACUCCCCUUUUCUUUUCUUUUUUGCAAAAAGUCUGAAAACAAUAUCCUCAUAUCAAUUCAAAUCUGAGAAAAUAGUUGGCACACAUGGAACUCACAAUUACUCAAAACAUGUUCCAAUUUUUUGGUCAAAACGUUGGACACGCCCAAAGAUUUCAACACGACUAAGUUACACACCGGGACCCCUUGGUGGCUCACAAUCGUCUACCGACCGCUAAGCGACACCAACAAAAUAGUGUUCAAGGAGGUCACGGGCGUGCGCGCAUUGCCGGGCAUGUGGUUACUCUAUAGUGAUUUCAACCUAGUCUCUACCACGACAAGGACAAGAACAAUAGUAACCUGAACAGACGCAUGAUAGCUCGGUUCCGACAGAUGCACAAUCACCUAGCGCUGAAGGAGAUCUAUCUACACGGGCACAGAUAUACCUGAUCGAACGAGCACAUAUAUACCCGAUCUCUUCUUCUGCACCUCAGAUUGGGAGGACCAGCACGGGGAGUGCCACCUGCGAUGCCUGGAGUCUGUGGUCUCUUAUCACAGCCCGCUACUGCUCGAUUGCGCACCCCUGCCACCUGCUCAACGCUGGUUCCGGUUUGUGGAUUUAUGACUGCACCUCGACAACUUCGCGAUACCGUCUCGGAAGCUUGGUGCUCUGUGCAUGGCAUGGACCCCUUCCGUCGGCAAACGUUGCGCCUACAGGCUAGACUGUAGGAAAGCUCACCAGCCGGAGUGCCAAGUCUAUCGGUAGCGUGUGUCUGAAGGUUGCGAUCGCUUGGGAAGUGAUCCUCUGUUUCAACAGGGCGUAGGAGGAUUGGCUGCUCUCGCCGCAUGAAACGUGACUACACAGACAACUCAAGGUUUCCUACCUCGGGUUUGCGUCUCUCGGGCAAACCAUCGUCUGACAGCACGCUAAGUUUGCCACGCUCAAAGACGGUGGCGCCAACACGACAUCCUUCCACCAUCAGUGCACCUACCGGUGGCAGAAGAAUAGGUUGCACGCCAUCACCAUCGGUGACUUCAUCAUCACUGAGCAAGCCGACACGGCCGAGGCUACGUUCUUCCUCUUAGAUGGGCUCCCGAGCACGGUUGCCAAACGCGAGCAUACGCUCAAUUUUGCCAUCUAAUAAAGCAUAACGGUGAGCUGCAUAACCUCAACGCAAAUUUCGUCGCUGACAAGAUUUGGGAGACGGUGAAACGCAUGGCGGCGCAGAAGGCACCAGGUCCUAACCGAUUCACUGUGGAAUUCCUGCGCACUUGUUGGAUUAUCAUCAAGGGUGGCGUGGUAAACAUGUUCCACAGCUCUACGAGUUGUGUGGUCGCGGUUUCCAUCGCCUAAACAAGGCUAGGCCUUAUUGCCAAGGCGGGCCGACGCGAGCGCCCUAGGCGACUACCAGCUAAUCAACCUCAUACACAUGAUCGCUAAGGUCUUUGCCAAGCUCCUUUUGCUACGCCUCGGCCCCAAGCUCGACCGCCUCGUCAAUGCCAACCAACGGCUGGAGUCUCCACAACAACUUUGUGCUCGUGAAGCAAUCCACCCACCUAUUGCCCAACUGUGCCCCACAGGUCCUACUCAAGCUCGACCUUGCCCGCGCGUUCGACACCGUCUUGUGGUCCUUCCUGUUCAAGGUGCUACAACAAUAUGGGUUCAACGACAUGUUCAUCAAGUGGCUCGUGAUCCUGCUAUCCUCCACCAACACACAUAAGUGCCGAUCAACGGAGAUCAAGGGCCACCAGACGUGGGCUACGCCAGGGGGACCCAUUCUCGCCCCAGCUGUUCAUCCUCACAGUCGAUGUCCUCGAGAUCCAGCAUAUUGUCAACACCGACAUCAUACAACGGCUUCAUCCACGCCAAAAAAUACCCAUGUUUUCGCUAUACGCUGACGACAUCGUGAUGUUCAGUCACAGGACGGCGAGCGAUGCGGUCGCAAUUAAGGAGAUCUUGCAGCUCUUUGGACACCAUUCGAGCUUAAGGUCAACUUCACUAAGAGAUCUGCUUCGCUCCUUAACAACGACAUUGACGCUACAGCACCGCCCAAAGAGCUCCUCUGAUGCCCAAUAGUCGAGCUUCCCCUCAUCUAUCCGAGAAUUCCUCCAACCAUCUCGCCCCAUCGCACCACAAUUGCAACCUCUCGUCGUUAGGUUAGCGGUCGGGCUGUCGACGUGAAGGUCGGGCUCAUGAACAAGGCGGUACGCUUGGCAAACAUUAAUUGGUGCUAAGCACAAUCCCCUUGCACCAGUUGAUGGUCCUGGCACCACCCAAACAAUUGCUUGAGCUAUCUCCCUCAAUUCUUCCAUGCCCAUCACUGAAACUAAUCCGCCUACUUACAUGUUCUCUUAAGCCUAGCUAUCAUAUCAAGUGGAGGAAGCAACUGUUGUUUCCAUUUCUCUAUCAUUAUUAUUUAGUGUACACUCGAUGAAUCAUGUAAUCUGAUCUGAAUAAAUUUAGUGGGCUCGCUGAUCCUUACUAUUGUGUAUAACUACAAGAUCUGCAGCAGGCAUGGCGCGCGGCCGCGCCAUGCAAAAUUCUACAAUAUUUUGGUUGUGGUAUCACUCGUCAAAUCGUUGUUAGUACAUUAUUCGAUGACAGUUAGAAUGGCAUUCUCAAACUUCGCUAAGUACUUCACAGUAUUCUGUUAUUUUUGCUGAUAAUUAAUAAGCUUUCAGGUUGUUGCACCAAAUUUAAAAGCUUUUCAAUCCCAUAUUAGCUUAACUAAAUGUUGUUCAUUGAUGAACAUACUACAUUCAUAUUUUGUGGUGCCACUUGUAAGUGAUUUAUUGUCUUGCAAGUUUUGGGUAGCCUAUUAAUAGAAACACAUCUUUGCGUCUCAAAAGAGGCUUCCAGCAGUAGACUUCGCGACACGUCAAUCUGAAUCAGAAGUGGGUUGACCACUCGACCUCUCUGCUCUCGUGACCCUCGAGGCGUUUCUAGAAUUCUCUUGCUGCACGCUGCUGCCGAUGUGUACUCGGUUGCCGGCGUGCACUCCAAGGUGGCCGGUGGGCUGUUUCCGGCUAUGCAAUAGGCUCUUCUUGCACUGGUUCGGACCUCGCCUUGAGCCGCAUUCCAUGUGAGUCGCAUUUGCUCUGCUUCUUCUCCUACGCUUCUGGCCAAAAUUUGUGAGCUCCUUGUAUCCUAGGUGUCCGCUGAGUUGUGAGCUUCUUACUCGGGUUGACAAAGGGGAAGACCUGUAUGCUUGGAUCUCGCUUUGUGCAGCGCUCGCCUAGAGUUUUAUCUUGUUUCAUUUCUGGAUCCCGUGUCUUGAUGCUAUGAGCAUAGCUAGCAAGGGAAAGAAUGUGUCGACAGAUGAUGCUGAACAGAGCCGAAUUCAGCAGAGGGCGGGGGACAAAGGCAUGGGGUGGAGGAGAUGCUGAAUCGCCUCAAUAUUUCAGACGGUGAAGACGCGCUUGGUGCUCAGUGACGAUGAGGAUGCCUCUGAGGGGUUGGGGCUAUCGGUGAUUGGGAAGGUCCUGCUGCACCUGCAGACGAUUAUGGCGGCAAUGAAGCCAGCAUGGGGGAAUCCUAAGGGCAUUCACCCCAGAUCAGCUGGAGAAACCCUAUUCAUCGUUGAUUUCAUGACUAAAUGUGAUAGUGAGAUAGCCCUCAAUGGCACUCCGUGGAUGGUAGGAAAACAUGUUGUCUUGCUACAGAAGCUCAAUCCAACUCUCAAACCAUGUUUUGACAAGAUGGACAUUUGGGUGAGGGUGGUUGAUUUGCCCUUCGAUUGGAUGAACGAUCGAAAGGGAAAAAGAACCGCUUGUCUGGGUGGGACUGUUGAUAAGGUGGACGUGGGUGGCCUCGUCGGGGAGUGUGUACUCUAAACAACCACUUGUUAGAGAUAACAGGGCUGACGAGGAGGUAUCGUCUCCACUGAAAGCGCACACUGUGACAGUUGCGGGAAAAGGCAAUAAGUGUUGUGAGCCCAAAGAAUUGUUCCCUGUGGCAAAGUCUGGGGUUGUCGCUGCUACACAGAGAAAGAGGAAGCCUUCAAGCGCUCAAAAGAAUAAUCUGGUGGUAGAAAUGGUCCAACAGAUUGAAGAGUCAAACAAUCUAGUGAUGGUCCCAAUCAUGCAAACUUAUGUGGGUGGUGGUGCGUCCUCCAUGUCAGGUCCAGUUUUGGCAGAUGUAGCUGUUUUCGAGGUGGCUAACAGAGGCAAGAUCAGUUUAUGUUCUAGGCAGAAUCGGUGGUGGCUAACAGAGGCAAGUGAAGCCCAACUUCACCGGCCUCAAUGUAUCUCCUAAGUCUGAACUGUCGGGUUGUGGGAAGCCCGAGGCAGUUCUUGAGCUCCACCAGUUGGUGAAGCAGGACCGUCCCGACAUUGUCUUCCUCAUGGAGACAAAGAUGACUGUAGAAGGUGCGCUUGCAAGUUCGCUCGCUGGUACGUUGGUGUGCUUAGAAGUUAAACUACGUAGGGAGGGAGGUGUUGAUUAAAUCGGUCGCCCAAGCAAUCCCAACCUCUGCCAUGAAUUGCUUCGAGUUAAGGGUGCAAACUUGUAAGAAGGUGACGACAAACAUCUCCACUUAUUUUUGGGGUGGAACUUUGAACAAGAGGAACAUGCAUUGGCUUUGGUGUGACCAUAUGACAAGAGCAAAAGCUACAGGUGGGAUGGGCUUCCGGGAUCUCGAAGUGUUUAACCUUGCCAUGCGAGGUAAACAAAGCUGGAGACUAUUGAUGCAACCUGAUUCUCUUUGUGCGCGGGUGUUGAAGGGGAAAUAUUUCCCUCAUACAGACUUCCUCCUUGCUACAAAGAAGAAGAAUUCAUCCCAUACUUGGAGAGCGAUUCUAUCUGGACGGGAGGUGAUGAUGAAAGGCCUAAUUAAAAGAGCGGGCAGUGGGGAAACAAUUGAUGUUCGGAAUGAUAAGUGGAUCCCGAGUGUGCGAUGGUUGAAGCCUUUAUUCAAGCCUGUUGACAGUACCGUCUCGAGAGUCAGCGAACUCGUGAACGAAGAUGGCUAUAGCUGGAAAAUUGAUCUGAUGCGCAUUCAGCUUGCGCCCCUCGAUGCUGCUGAAGUAUGUAAAAUUCCCAUUGGAGGGCUAGAGGAAGACACUCUAGCUUGGGCUCAUGAGAAACAUGGCAACCACUCUGUUCGAUCGACGUAUCACAUGAGGCCGCAGUUAUAACUUGUACUGCUUGGAGCUUAUGGACGUCAAGGAACAAUCUGCGCCAUGGCACAAAUUGUACGACACCUCGACUGUUAUGGUCGGUCUUACGUAUAGCCGUAAGAAGCCCACUAGUGGCUAGUUAUGGGCUUAGCCCAAGUUAUCUAGGGUUUAGAGGAGGUUGUCCUCCUAUAUAAACAUAUGUACCCCUUCGUAAUCAAACAAUAAACAGUAUUAAACUGUCGUCUCCUUCAGGGAGACGAGAGACCCCAAACCCUAGCCGCCUCCUGCCCUAGCGCCGCCUCCUCACCCGCGCAGCGACGGCGCACCGCCGGCGCCAGCGCCCCCAAUUCCUCCGCCCUCACUUCCACCCCUACAACCUCCACUUCCACCCCUACAAUCUCCGUCCGAGACCUGGUAGAACCCUAGCCUCUACCAAUUUGGUAUCAGAUUGCUUUGGUUCGAUGGGUUCCAACGGCCUCCCCACCACACCAUCGCCCCCGCCACCUCCGCCGCCGACGCCAACAUCAUCGCCGCCACCUCUCAGCAGAUGCCACACCACCUGCAGCCGCCGGCGUCCGACGCAGAUGCCCUAGCGGCCGACGUGCUCCCCACGACGCUGUCCGAGGUGGCCCUCGCCCUCCGCGACCUCCGCCGCGAGAUGGCCGAACUCCGGGCCAGCCAACACCCGCCCCCGCCGCCGACGGUCGUGCCCCUCAUCCCGCCGCCACCGGCGGCCGUCGCCAACCACGGGCGGCCGCUCCAUCAGGUCAAGUGGCCGGCCUCGCCCUCGGCCAUCCCGUCGUGGGCCGACACGCCCACCUACACGCAGGCGCCUCUCCAAACCACGGUGCAGCAGCAGCCCGUCCACGCCUUCGGCGGACUCGGCGGGUUCGCUGCCCCUUACGCAGGGAGCUCGUCACUCGCCUCCGGUCGCAAGGAGGGCGCCUACGCGGCGGCGCCGCACGUGCAGCAGCCGCCCCGCUUCACCAAGCUGGAGUUCGCCACCUACGACGGCACCGUCGACCCCCUGAACUGGCUGAACCAGUGCGACCAGUUUUUCAGGGGGCAGCGGACGCUCGCGUCCGACCGCACGUGGAUCGCCUCCUACCACCUCCAUGGCGCCGCGCAAGUGGUACUACGCUCUCGAGCAGGACGAGGGCGGGAUGCCUUCGUGGGAGCGCUUCCGUGACCUGUGCCUCCAACGGUUCGGCCCGACCCUCCGCGGGAGCCGACUCGCCGAGCUCGGCCGCCUGCCCUUCACCACCACGGUGCAGGACUUUGCCGACCGCUUCCAGGCACUGGCCUGCCACGCCCCGGGCGUCUCGGCGCGUCAGCGCGCUGACCUCUUCGUCGGCGGCCUCCCCGACCACAUCUGCGUCGAUGUCGAGAUGAGGGAGCCCCAGGACCUGCAGACGGCCAUGUACUACGCGCGCGCAUAUGAGCAGCGCGCCCUCGCCAUGUAGCAGGUGUACGCGAGCCGCGGCGCGCGGCCCCUGCCUCGGUCCGCCCCGGCGCCGACCGCCCCGCCCUCCCAGCCACGCCAGCGGCCACCCCCGCGCCGACACGUCCCUUCAAGCGCCUGACGUCCGCUGAGCAGCUCGAUCGGCGCCGCAAGGGCCUGUGCUUCAACUGCGACGAGCAGUAUGCGCCGGGUCACACGUGUGCCCGCCUCUUCUACCUGGAGACCGUCGACGAAGCUGAGGUGGAGGCCCUCACUGCGGAGCUCGCGGCCGCCGCCAUCACUGAGGCUGGUGUCACGACCUACGCGCCGGUCGACGCGUCCGCCUUCGUCGUCUCUCUUCAUGCCAUGGCGGGCAUCAAGACGGCGAAGACGAUGCUGCUCCCGUGACGAUCAAUGGGGAGCGCCUUACUGCACUCGUGGACACGGGCUCGACGCACAACUUCUUGUCCAACACCGCCAUGCGCCGCCUUGCCCUCCAGCCGGCGGGCGCGGAGCGGUACAGCGUCACCGUCGCCAACGGGGACCGUCUUACGUGCCAGGGCGUGGCACGACAGGUCCCCGUCCUCAUCGGCGACGAGCCUUUCUCCAUCGACUGCGUCAGCAUCGACUUGGGCUGCUACGACUUCAUCCUCGGCCUCGACUUCCUGAGCACAUUAGGCCCCAUACUGUGGGACCUCGACGUGCUGUCCCUCAUCUUCUGGCGCGAGGGCGGCCGCCGCGUGCACUGGACGGGCCUUGGCAGCACCGGCGCAUCUCUGCAGCUCCACCUGAUGGUUGCCGCCCUCGACGAGGCGCACCCCCUCCUGGCCGACCUACUGCAGCAGCACAGCGACAUCUUCGACGAGCCACAGGGCCUCCCUCCCUCGCGGCCCUGUGACCACCGCAUCCACCUGCUGCCGAACAUGGCGCCUGUCGCCGUUCGUCCGUACCGAUACCCCCAGCUGCAGAAGGACGAGCUCGAGCGUCAGGUGGCGGUCAUGCUCGUGCAGGGCAUCAUCCGGAUUUCGACUUCACCGUUCUCCGCUCCGGUGCUCCUUGUGCGCAAGGCCGAUGGCACGUGGCGCUUCUGCAUCGACUUCCGCGCCCUCAACACCAUGACGUCCAAGGACAAGUUCCCCAUCCCCGUAGUGGAUGAGCUCCUGGACGAGCUACACGGCGCGCUUCUUCACCAAGCUCGACUUGCGCUCGGGCUAUCAUCAGGUGCGGAUGCACCCGGACGACAUCGCGAAGACGGCGUUCCGCACUCACCAUGGCCACUUUGAGUUCUUGGUGAUGCCGUUCGGCCUCUCCAACACGUCGGCGACUUUUCAGGCCCUGAUGAACGACGUGCUCAGCCCCUACUUAUGCCGCUUUGUGCUUGUUUUCUUUGAUGAUAUUCUUAUCUACAGCGCAUCCUGGGCAGAGCACCUGCAGCACGUGGCCAUCAUCUUCAACGAGCUUCGAGCGCAUCGUCUUCAUCUCAAGCGCUCGAAGUGCUCGUUUGGCACGACCUCCGUCGCGUACCUGGGCCACGUCAUCUCGACGGACGAUGUCGCGAUGGACGCGGACAAGGUCGCUGUUGUCGCCGCGUGGCCGACUCCGCAGUCGCCGCGGGCUCUUCGCGGUUUCUUGGGCCUCGCGGGGUACUACCGGAAGUACAUCCAGGACUUCGGCCUCAUCGUUGCGCCCCUCACGCGCCUCCUUCGCCACGACGCCUUCUCUUGGGACGAGGAGGCGCCUACGGCGUUCGCCGCCCUACAGCAGGCGCUCACAACGGGCCCCGUCCUCCAGAUGCCGGACUUCGACGUGACGUUCAUGGUGGACUGCGACGCCUCCGGCAUCGGCUGCGGCGCCGUCCUCCACCAGGGCGAGGGGCCGCUGGCCUUCUUCAGCCGUCCCUUCACCGCGCGUCAUCACAAGGUCGCCGCCUAUGAGCGUGAGCUGAUCGGGCUGGUCCAGGCGGUGCGCCACUGGCGGCCUUAUCUUUGGGGCCGGACAUUCCGUGUGCGCACGGACCACUACAGCCUGAAGUUCUUGCUAGAUCAGCGCCUCUCCACCGUGCCGCAGCAUGAGUGGAUCAGCAAGCUCUUCGGCUUCGACUUCACCGUCGAGUACCGCCCCGGUCGCCUCAACACGGUCGCCGACGCCCUGUCCCGCCGUGACGCCGACGACGUGACCGACGCCCCCACAGUAGGCACGGUCUUCUGCAUCCACUCCGGGCCGUCCUUCGCCUUCAUCGACGACAUCCACCGCGCUACUUCGACGGCCGCGGAUGCGCAGCAGCUGCGCCAGCGCCUGGCCGACGGCGAGCUGGCCGCGCCGUGGCGCCUGGACGAGGGGCUGCUCCUCCAUGGCCGCCGCAUAUUCGUGCCUGAUCAUGGCGACCUGCGCCACCAGGCCUUGGCCUUGGCGCACUCUGCAGGACACGAGGGCGUGCAGAAGACCCUUCACCGUCUCCGCGCUGAUUUUUACAUACCUGGGGAUGGCGCCCUGGUGCGCGACUGGUUGCGGUCGUGUGUGACGUGCCAGCGGAACAAGACGAAGACACUCAGGCCGGCGGGUCUAUUGCAGCCGCUGGACGUGCCCUCCCAGGUGUGGGCGGACAUCUCCAUGGACUUCAUCAAGGGGCUGCCGAAGGUUGUCGGCAAGUCCGUCAUCCUCACGGUGGUUGAUCGCUUCUCCAAGUACGCACACUUCAUCGUCCUCGGUCAUCCCUACACGGCUGCUUCGGUGGCACGCGCCUUCUUCGACGGCAUCGUCCGCCUCCACGACUUCCCGUCUUCCAUCGUCAGUGACCGUGACCCUAUGUUCACGGGCCACGUCUGGCGGGAUCUCUUUGGGUUGGCGGGCGUGAAGCUCCGCAUGAGCAUGUCGUUUCAUCCCCAGACGGACGGCCAGUCCGAGGUCGUCAACAAGAUCAUCGCCAUGUACCUGCGCUGCAUUACUGGAGAUCGUCCACGAGCUUGGGUGGACUGGCUGGCAUGGGCGGAGUACUGCUACAACACUUCCUACCACUCCGCGUGCACACCACACCCUUCGAGGUGGUCUAUGUGCGGCCACCUCCGGCGAUGCUUCCAUAUGUGCCUAGCACGGCGCGGACUGACACGGCGGACGACUUGCUCCGUACCCGCGACGAGAUACUGGCCGAGGCGCGCCAGCGACUUCUUCAGGCACAGCAGCUGGCUCGGACGUACUAUGAUGCGCAUCAUCGCGAGGCGGAGUUCGCGAUGGGCGACUGGGUGUGGUUGCACCUCCUCCACAGGACGGCCCCAAGCGCAAGUUGGGGCCUCGCUACGCCGGCCCCUUUCGUGUGCUGGAGCGUGUUGGCACGCUCGCCUACCGCCUUGAGCUACCUCCGGGGUCUCGCCUCCAUGACGUCUUCAACGUGGGCCUCCUGAAGGCCUACCGUGGCGACCCGCCUACUGCGCCACCAGCUCUUCCUCCUACUUCGGAUGGACGUCUCGCGCCCGCUCCUGCGACUGUGGCCCGAGUGAUGCAGGCGCAGCAGCGCCGCGGUGUGUGGCACGUCUUGGUGCAUUGGACAGGCAUGCCGGAGGAAGAAGCGACAUGGGAGAAGCUUGAUGAUUUCCACCAGCAGUUUCCAGAAGUUCAGCUCGAGGACGAGCUGUUUGAGAAGGCGGGGAGAGAUGUUAUGGUCGGUCUUACGUAUAGCCGUAAGAAGCCCACUAGUGGCUAGUUAUGGGCUUAGCCCAAGUUAUCUAGGGUUUAGAGGAGGCUGUCCUCCUAUAUAAACAUAUGUACCCCUUCGUGAUUAAUCAGACAAUAAACAGUAUUAAACUGUCGUCUCCUUGAGGGAGACGGGAGACCCCAAACCCUAGCCGCCUCCUGCCCUAGCGCCGCCUCCUCCUCACCCGCGUAGCGACGGCGCACCGCCGGCGCCAGCGCCCCCAACUCCUCCGCCCUCACUUCCACCCCUACAACCUUCGUCCGAGACCUGGUAGAACCCUAGCCUCUACCAUCGACAUCUUGGAAUUUGGGUUAAAGAGGUUGUUCAUCAAACAUAUUUGAUUACUGUGAAAGCUCGAAACCCACUGCUGGGAAAAAAAUGCAAAGUGGUCUGCUCCUAUUAGUGGGGUCACAAAAAUUAACUUUGAUGCAGCCUAUGAUGCAGGAUCUACUCAUGCUGCUACCGGCGUCGUGGCAAGAAUAUCUGAUGGUGAGUUUGUGCUAGCUGCUGCAAGGGGAUACGACAAUAUUCAAAAUCCCCUGACAGCUGAAACACUCGCUUUUAGAGAUGCAAUUACUGAAGCAGUCAAAGAAGGAUGGCAGCAUGUCCAUUUUGAAACAGCUUGUCAAAUAGGUAGUGGAGAAGCUAAGGAAAAUGCUAGUAACUUAGUUCCCCUUAAAGGCGACUGGUAUUGUUCCUUCACCAUAUGAUGCUUGAUUUGUAUAACUUGAUUCUGUUUUACCAUAGCAUAAAGUACCAGGCCUAUGACAUCUUUUCCUCUUUCUCAACUUUAAUCUUUCUGAUGUCCAUUUUUUAGCAAAAUCCAUUGAGUCAUUGUAUAAAUAAACUGGCUUGAUAACUUAUUUAUAGAGACAAACGCUUGCCACGGGCGUUCUUUUUUUCAGGGUUUCAAACUGUGACAUUAUUCCUUCCAUUAGAUUUACUGUUGCUAGUUCUCGUUCUAACCAUUAUUAUUUUUGUAGGCGUGACCGUGUGAAACGCACAAAGGCUAAAGCAAAGACUGAAUCUAUGCAUGUGGCUGACGAACAUCACAACCCACUCUAACAUAUAUUAAUCGCCUAUCUACCACUGAAAUAACUCCAUCUUGGAGGGAAUUGCUGUUUCCUCAAAGUCGCACCAAGAAGCGUAAACAGAACGAGAAGACUAACAAAAUUACCGUGGAUGCCAUCACCAACAAGCCAGAUUCAUUUCAGAGCAAACGAACACCCUCCCUUUCUCUCGCGCCUCUCCCCUCAGCAACAAGUGAAGGUGCAGCAAGCUCACCUGAAGCAGCCGAGUCCGUACAGGAUGACGAACACGGCAAGGGCCCCUGCGAUGGGGACGAGGAACUCUCGGCCCCUACCGAGUCCGGGUGCGCCGGGAGGGCGCUUGGUGCCCAGGGUGAGGGCGCCGCCACCGGGAGACGAAACCUUCGACAUCUCGCACUUUGGAUGCUCAGGGAGGAGGAGGGAUUCGCCGGGGAGGAGGAGGGGCUCGCUCGGAUUUCUCUCGCUUAGGUUCGGGGGGCAAAGGCAGCUUCUUCUUGCACUAGGGGUAAGAGAAAGGGGAUGGGAGGAGG